UGCGGUAACGCGACCGAUCCCGGAGAAGCUGGCAGGAGCCCCGGGGAGAGUUCUCUUUUCUUUGUGAAGGGCAUGGCAACCUGGAAUGGGUUCGCUACGAGAGGGGGCCCAAGCCCUGUAAAGCGUUGCAGUUCCGGCGGUGUCCGGUGAGCUCUCGCUGGCCCUUGAAAAUCUGGGGGA
Salmo salar (Atlantic salmon) is the source of this 180-nucleotide non-coding RNA. Lineage: Eukaryota; Metazoa; Chordata; Actinopteri; Salmoniformes; Salmonidae. The record is from Rfam.